GAGAUCAGCACAUAUACACACUGGAUAGACAUAGGAAACCCAUGUUUAAGAUCUUCCCUAUGUCCCAGAACACGUCCCUCAAACACACACACAACCAUCUGUAGACAGCAGCAGCUAAGGGCCUAGUUACCCACAAAGCCAGCAGUGGGGACACAGUAAGCUUUAAGUGGACUAUCACCAAGGUCGUGCUUGUUCUCCUAGAGAGAGCUACGAAUGCCCAGGCUGAGGGGCAACUGAAAUCUGUGUAUUUAACAAUGCAAGCUAGCAGAAAGUCUGGCUAUUUUGAAAUACCAAUACCAAUAAAAGGAGCAUUUACAUAGCGUUAGCUGUUUAUACGAAUUUGGCAGUCUUGCCUCCUGAGAGUGUCACAGAGGUCCCAGGUAUUCCUGCUGUAAAACUAGAGAAACUGAGGCUUAGACUGGCUAAAAGUCUGCUCAGGUUCACUGAGCUAGAAUGAGGUGCUUCUAAAACGUGCACUCUAACCUUCUGCUGUAGGAGACUGGAUCUCUCCAAUUAAGAAGCAGUCCUGCUGGGGCUGCCUGCACCCCUAUUGGAGAAGUAGAGUAAUGAUGAUCAUGUGGUUCCCCAAGUCCUAUUGUCUGGAUUCUCUUCAUUCUAAGACGGUGCAUUCUGUCCCUGGAUUUCAUAGGGUCUCUACAAGAAGGACAGUUUCUAUUCUGCUGUCCCCAAAGCAGAAGGCCAUACGCACAUCUAACACUAGGAGUUAUUCUGUCAACAUGAGAGGGCUUCAUAUGCAGCUAUUGGUGAACAACCUGUUGAAGUUUCCUGGGAGCAGAGCCCAAGAUGGUAUAAGGUGCAGGUGAAACAUUUGUAGAGAGUUCUUGCCAGGGAGACAGGGCAGCAAGUAUGGGAGCCAAGCCCCCAGCAAGGAUAUAUGUUAGGGUGAGCCUAGUUCUAUAUACAGCAAUGCAGUAAUGUGUGUCUUGGAGACAAGACUCAGGAUGUGUGUGCUCCAUUACUCCUCAGCCACUUACAGAGUGUUAUCACUUCCAUAGCAUCACCUGAGUAGAGAGCCAGGAGUCCAGAGACUACUGUCCCGGGCAUGCACUGAUAGGUGAAGAGGACCUGGGCCUGGCGUCCAUAGCAUUUACUUCCAUGCCUAAUUAGUAUCUUUGUUGGAAAGACAGCCAUGUGUCACAGUCACUUGAACUGGCAGUCAUCUCAACUUCAACUAAC
Molecule: long non-coding RNA, 1197 nt
Filed under: Cricetulus griseus (Chinese hamster)
Lineage: Eukaryota; Metazoa; Chordata; Mammalia; Rodentia; Cricetidae
Description: lncRNA (ENSCGRG00015032976.1)
Source: RNAcentral